Molecule: ribosomal RNA, 784 nt
Filed under: Physma byrsaeum
Lineage: Eukaryota; Fungi; Ascomycota; Lecanoromycetes; Peltigerales; Collemataceae
Description: SSU rRNA
Rfam family: Bacterial small subunit ribosomal RNA
Source: RNAcentral
AAUGGCCUAAUGGCUGAACCAGCAACUUGGAGGAAUGUAUAGCAAUAGCUAAUUGUAUUAACAUAAUAGUUUUUACAAUAUCGAUAAUAUCGAAUAAAAUUCUAGGUGGAUAAAUGAUAAUGACAUUAUCUAUUUAUGGUCUUGACAAAAAUACGUGCCAGCAGUCGCGGUAAUACGUAGCAGACCAGUGUUAUUCAUAUUUAAUAGGUUUAAAGCGUAUUUAGACGGUAAUUCUUGCUUGAAUAAGGUACAUUAUUACUAGAGUUAUAUACGAGGGUGCGUAGGUACUGUUGAGUGGAGAGAUGAAAUUCUUUUAUACCAGACGAUUGGAACAGAUAUUGGCGAAAGCAUCACUUUAUGUAAUAACUGACGUUAACAGACGAAGGCUAUGCGUCACAAAAAGGAUUAGGUACCCAAGUAGUCUUAGCAGACAAUUAUGAAUGUCAUAAAUUAGAUAUUAUUUAGUUUAUAAAUGAAAGUGUAAGCAUUUCACCUCAAGAGUAAUUUGGCAACAUAGAAAAUGAAAUCAUUAGACCGUUUCUGAAACCAGUAGUGAAGUAUGUUAUUUAAUUUGAUGAUCCUCAAAAAACCUUACCACAACUUGAAUAUUAAUCAUAUAUUUUUACAUGCGUUGCACGGCUGUCUUCAGUUAAUGUCGUGAGGCCAUGGUUAACUCCAUGCUAAUUAACCUAAACCCUUACUUUAUUUUUAUAUAGAGUUUUUAAACAAAAAUACUGUGUUAUGAUAAAAGGGACUAAAACAAGUCAUCAUGGCCUAAAUGUUG